RNAcentral lists this ribosomal RNA (559 nucleotides) under uncultured bacterium. RNAcentral describes it as "bacterial SSU rRNA". It matches the Rfam family "Bacterial small subunit ribosomal RNA", at positions 120 to 674 of the family's 1533-position model. The record is from RNAcentral.
GGGAAACUGCCUGAUGGAGGGGGAUAACUACUGGAAACGGUAGCUAAUACCGCAUAACGUCGCAAGACCAAAGAGGGGGACCUUCGGGCCUCUUGCCAUCAGAUGUGCCCAGAUGGGAUUAGCUAGUAGGUGGGGUAACGGCUCACCUAGGCGACGAUCCCUAGCUGGUCUGAGAGGAUGACCAGCCACACUGGAACUGAGACACGGUCCAGACUCCUACGGGAGGCAGCAGUGGGGAAUAUUGCACAAUGGGCGCAAGCCUGAUGCAGCCAUGCCGCGUGUAUGAAGAAGGCCUUCGGGUUGUAUAGUACUUUCAGCGGGGAGGAAGGCGAUAAGGUUAAUAACCUUGUCGAUUGACGUUACCCGCAGAAGAAGCACCGGCUAACUCCGUGCCAGCAGCCGCGGUAAUACGGAGGGUGCAAGCGUUAAUCGGAAUUACUGGGCGUAAAGCGCACGCAGGCGGUCUGUCAAGUCGGAUGUGAAAUCCCCGGGCUCAACCUGGGAACUGCAUUCGAAACUGGCAGGCUAGAGUCUUGUAGAGGGGGGUAGAAUUCCAGGU